RNAcentral lists this ribosomal RNA (254 nucleotides) under uncultured bacterium. RNAcentral describes it as "partial 16S ribosomal RNA". It matches the Rfam family "Bacterial small subunit ribosomal RNA", at positions 524 to 776 of the family's 1533-position model. The record is from RNAcentral.
AACGUAGGAGACAAACGUUAUCCGGAGUUACUGGGCGUAAAGGGCGUGUAGGUGGUAAUGUAAGUCUGGCGUGAAAUUUUUCGGCUUAACCGGGAAAGGUCGUCGGAUACUGCGUAACUAGAGGACGGUAGAGGCGUGUGGAAUUCCGGGUGUAGUGGUGAAAUGCGUAGAGAUCCGGAAGAACACCGGUGGCGAAGGCGGCCUGCUGGGCAGUAGCUGACACUGAGGGCGCGACAGCGUGGGGAGCAAACAGG